This 1259-nucleotide long non-coding RNA is filed under the name Solanum lycopersicum (tomato). Its description in RNAcentral is "long non-coding RNA (SLYC_LNC001401)". Lineage: Eukaryota; Viridiplantae; Streptophyta; Magnoliopsida; Solanales; Solanaceae. The record is from RNAcentral.
AUUAUUUUUCUGUUUCUCCAAUUUGCUCUCCCUGUGAAAAUCUUCUGGUGUGCAUGCCCUCUCGCCAUGACAGACAAACACAUUUGCCUACGGUUAGCAUUGAUUUUAUCUGCUUUCUUAAGCUCCAGUUAUGCUAAGCAGAAAUUCCGUCUUUUAAUUCCAAAUCUAGGAUAUGUUAAUGUACCUCCUGAAGAAAAUCAGCAAGUCUCCUAGGAGAUGGUAAACAUCAUUUUGGUACUUGUAGUGUUUACCAUUUUUGAUAGUUUUUAGUUGUCAAUCUGACUUUGAAGAGGAUUAUGGUUCUACAGAAACAAAGUAAUUCAACAAGGAAGCCUCUGAAUAAAGCUUACUGAAGAAGAGUUCAUUGCCUUGUAUUAGUUUUCGAUAUUUCUGAAAAAAUUGCUUCAGACAUGGCCUCAUUUGUUUUGUCUCUUGUUAUUUUAUUGUCAUACCAUUCUUGCAUUUCUGAUUCAGUCAAUCUCCACUUUAACCUUGGCCACAUUUCCUCUAGAUUUCGAGUAAGUCACUUGAUCUGGAGCCACAGCCCUCCCAAUAUGACCAAUUAAUCUUGACACAAUUUGCCAAUCGAAAAGGUGCCAUGAUAGUUGAUGUAUCAAAAUCCCAACAGGAACAAUAGAUGUUUCUUCCGCUGGUUUAAAGUCUGGAGUCCAAUGUCAACAUAUAAAACAUGGUUAUAAUCUACAUCAUUAGCAAAAUCCAAGUAAACAUGGUUCAGAUCGAAAUAAGCUAUUUUAUCCAGACGUGAAAAUUGAAAUUUAAGUUUUUCGAAUUUCUUCCAUGGUCGGCUUACCUCAAUAGAAUUUUCCUUUUGUUGUUCAUGGACUCGUUAUUGGUUUUUCAUUGGGGAUUUUGGUUUCUAGCUGUUUGCUGCACUGGUUGACUGAAAUUAGCCUUUUUAUUGUCUUGGUAUUUGUCAAACUUUUGGUGGUGGAGGAAUAUUGUUGUUUCUCUGUGGCAUUGAAUUGGGAUUAUUGGAGUUGGGGUGGGGAUUGGUGGGGUUAUCGGUGGAUCUGCACUUUUCAUUGUUCAUUUGGUGGGUGUUUGCUGGUGGUACAACGGAUAUACUAGCCGUUAUUGGACUGGUUAUGUCGGAGAACUGGUGGUUAAAGGGUUGCAGGUUAUUGUUUGUGGAAUCGGGUGGUGAAUUAAAAACAACCUCUCUACCCCACAAAGACGAUAAUAAGACUUAUGUACAUCCUUACCUGAUCCCACCCGUGAAAUUAGAGAGUAAAGUUCCU